GCGUGCGAGGCGACUGACAGCUGUGUCGCUCCGGUCUGUAAAACCGGACCCAUGUGGUGAACACCGGAGGUGCAACUCCUCCCGCACGCACCA
This 93-nucleotide transfer RNA is filed under the name Chthoniobacterales bacterium. RNAcentral's name for it is "tRNA-Tyr". Lineage: Bacteria; Pseudomonadati; Verrucomicrobiota; Spartobacteria; Chthoniobacterales. The record is from RNAcentral.